UACCUCAGUAACGGCGAGUGAAGCGGUAACAGCUCAAAUUUGAAAUCUGGGUCUUUUAGGCUCCGAGUUGUAAUUUGUAGAAGAUGCUUCGGGUGCGGCGCCGGUCUAAGUCCCUUGGAACAGGGCGUCACAGAGGGUGAGAAUCCCGUAUGUGAUCGGUUGCCUGUGCCCGUGUGAAGCUCUUUCGACGAGUCGAGUUGUUUGGGAAUGCAGCUCUAAAUGGGUGGUAAAUUUCAUCUAAAGCUAAAUAUUGGCCAGAGACCGAUAGCGCACAAGUAGAGUGAUCGAAAGAUGAAAAGCACUUUGGAAAGAGAGUUAAACAGUACGUGAAAUUGUUGAAAGGGAAGCGCUUGCAACCAGACUUGCGCGUUGUCGAUCAUCCGGGGUUCUCCCCGGUGCACUCGACCUCGCUCAGGCCAGCAUCGGUUUCGGUGGUUGGAUAAAGGCCUUGGGAAUGUAGCUUCCUUCGGGGAGUGUUAUAGCCCUCGGUGCAAUGCAGCCUACCGGGACCGAGGACCGCGCUUCGGCUAGGAUGCUGGCGUAAUGGUUGUAAGCGACCCGUCUUGAAACACGGACCAAGGAGUCUAACAUCUAUGCGAGUGUUUGGGUGUCAAACCCAUACGCGUAAUGAAAGUGAACGGAGGUGAGAACCCUUAAGGGUGCAUCAUCGACCGAUCCUGAUGUCUUCGGAUGGAUUUGAGUAAGAGCAUAGCUGUUGGGACCCGAAAGAUGGUGAACUAUGCCUGAAUAGGGUGAAGCCAGAGGAAACUCUGGUGGAGGCUCGCAGCGGUUCUGACGUGCAAAUCGAUCGUCAAAUUUGGGUAUAGGGGCGAAAGACUAAUCGACC
RNAcentral lists this ribosomal RNA (847 nucleotides) under Pezicula sp. 7 CC-2015. RNAcentral's name for it is "eukaryotic LSU rRNA". It matches the Rfam family "Eukaryotic large subunit ribosomal RNA", at positions 76 to 941 of the family's 3401-position model. The record is from RNAcentral. Lineage: Eukaryota; Fungi; Ascomycota; Leotiomycetes; Helotiales; Dermateaceae.